AUGAACGCUGGCGGCGUGCCUAAUACAUGCAAGUCGAGCGAACAGACGAGGAGCUUGCUCCUCUGACGUUAGCGGCGGACGGGUGAGUAACACGUGGAUAACCUACCUAUAAGACUGGGAUAACUUCGGGAAGCCGGAGCUAAUACCGGAUAAUAUAUUGAACCGCAUGGUUCAAUAGUGAAAGACGGUUUUGCUGUCACUUAUAGAUGGAUCCGCGCCGCAUUAGCUAGUUGGUAAGGUAACGGCUUACCAAGGCGACGAUGCGUAGCCGACCUGAGAGGGUGAUCGGCCACACUGGAACUGAGACACGGUCCAGACUCCUACGGGAGGCAGCAGUAGGGAAUCUUCCGCAAUGGGCGAAAGCCUGACGGAGCAACGCCGCGUGAGUGAUGAAGGUCUUCGGAUCGUAAAACUCUGUUAUUAGGGAAGAACAAAUGUGUAAGUAACUAUGCACGUCUUGACGGUACCUAAUCAGAAAGCCACGGCUAACUACGUG
Molecule: ribosomal RNA, 496 nt
Filed under: uncultured bacterium
Lineage: Bacteria
Description: partial 16S ribosomal RNA
Rfam family: Bacterial small subunit ribosomal RNA
Source: RNAcentral